AUGGAGUCGCAACAACUCUUUGUCCUACACCAGUCGUUAGAUGACAUGGCAACUCUAAAGGAAAGUGGUCAUCAAUAUGAACCACAUGCUUGGCGGUUACCGCUUUGGCCGCACGUUCUGAUCGUCUCGCAUCGAGAUGUUUUUGUUCGAUUGUUCGAAUUGGUUUUGCGUCCGAGCUCCUAUAAAUACAAGCUUUCCCUGCUUCUUCAAUUCGUCCACGUGGUCAUCGCCCAGUUCCAGGCCUUUGCGGCGUCCCCGGGCGCGUUGUCGUUCUUCGUCGCCGCGGUCACGGGUUUGCCGCCGCCGCGAUCUUGGCGGCCUCCGACAAGACGUCAGAUCCAAGCGAGGUUUUGCGCCGGCGAGGCUCUUUCGCUCGCGUCCUCUCCUCUGCCCAGUUCGCCGCCCGUUACAAGCGUUGAUACGCUCUGGCGAGGCCCGUCGCCGCUGGCUGCCGGAGCCAAGACAAGCCAGCGGAGGCGAAGCGUCAACGCGUCGCGGCGAGGCGGCCAUGUCGGUGUCUUCAGGCUGGAGCGUGUGUUCUACGCUCGGUGGCCGUGGAAGCGCCUCACCUCCAUCGCCGCCUACGACAGCAAGACAUGGCCAUCCACAUCACCCGCUGGCUUCGAGCCCGUCUCCAUCCCGCGCAUCUGCCAGAUCGGCCAGCUGCGAUUUGGACCUCUCCAACCCCAACCUCAUGCCGGCCGCCAGCGGCUACAUCCAAAUCGACUGAGGUGGCAUCUGCAAGUGCACCACACCAACACCUACGUAGACAUCUACGUCGGCCGCCGCCGCAACGAGGUCGUCCUCACCGUCCGCGGCCUCAACCUCACCCGCAACGCCGAUUAUAAGCUCCUGCAUUGUAACUCGCUGCAUCCUAGACGGACAGCAAGCUGA
RNAcentral lists this ribosomal RNA (894 nucleotides) under Triticum aestivum (bread wheat). RNAcentral describes it as "partial small subunit ribosomal RNA". Lineage: Eukaryota; Viridiplantae; Streptophyta; Magnoliopsida; Poales; Poaceae. The record is from RNAcentral.